CAGGACGAACGCUGGCGGCGUGCCUAAUACAUGCAAGUCGAACGGUCUUUCUAUGGAAGCUUGCUCCACUGAGAAGAUAGUGGCGAACGGGUGAGUAACACGUGGGUAACCUGCCCAUAAGAGGGGGAGUAACAUCCGGAAACGGGUGCUAAUACCGCAUAGUUUUCUUGAUUGCAUGAUUGAGAAAGGAAAGACGGCCUUUGUGCUGUCGCUUAUGGAUGGACCCGCGGCGUAUUAGUUAGUUGGUGAGGUAACGGCUCACCAAGACGAUGAUACGUAGCCGACCUGAGAGGGUGAUCGGCCACAUUGGGACUGAGACACGGCCCAAACUCCUACGGGAGGCAGCAGUAGGGAAUCUUCCGCAAUGGACGAAAGUCUGACGGAGCAACGCCGCGUGAGUGAAGAAAGGUUUUCGGAUCGUAAAACUCUGUUGUCAGAGAAGAACAAGUUGGAGAGUAACUGCUCCAGCCUUGACGGUAUCUGACCAGAAAGCCACGGCUAACUACGUGCCAGCCGCAGC
RNAcentral lists this ribosomal RNA (520 nucleotides) under uncultured bacterium. Its description in RNAcentral is "bacterial SSU rRNA". It matches the Rfam family "Bacterial small subunit ribosomal RNA", at positions 25 to 518 of the family's 1533-position model. The record is from RNAcentral.